Molecule: ribosomal RNA, 550 nt
Filed under: uncultured bacterium
Lineage: Bacteria
Description: bacterial SSU rRNA
Rfam family: Bacterial small subunit ribosomal RNA
Source: RNAcentral
UAGGGAAUCUUCGGCAAUGGACGGAAGUCUGACCGAGCAACGCCGCGUGAGUGAAGAAGGUUUUCGGAUCGUAAAGCUCUGUUGUAAGAGAAGAACGAGUGUGAGAGUGGAAAGUUCACACUGUGACGGUAUCUUACCAGAAAGGGACGGCUAACUACGUGCCAGCAGCCGCGGUAAUACGUAGGUCCCGAGCGUUGUCCGGAUUUAUUGGGCGUAAAGCGAGCGCAGGCGGUUAGAUAAGUCUGAAGUUAAAGGCUGUGGCUUAACCAUAGUACGCUUUGGAAACUGUUUAACUUGAGUGCAAGAGGGGAGAGUGGAAUUCCAUGUGUAGCGGUGAAAUGCGUAGAUAUAUGGAGGAACACCGGUGGCGAAAGUGGCUCUCUGGCUUGUAACUGACGCUGAGGCUCGAAAGCGUGGGGAGCAAACAGGAUUAGAUACCCUGGUAGUCCACGCCGUAAACGAUGAGUGCUAGGUGUUAGACCCUUUCCGGGGUUUAGUGCCGUAGCUAACGCAUUAAGCACUCCGCCUGGGGAGUACGACCGCAAGGUUG